RNAcentral lists this ribosomal RNA (253 nucleotides) under uncultured bacterium. Its description in RNAcentral is "partial 16S ribosomal RNA". It matches the Rfam family "Bacterial small subunit ribosomal RNA", at positions 524 to 776 of the family's 1533-position model. The record is from RNAcentral.
UACGGAGGUGGCAAGCGUUAUUCGGAAUUAUUGGGCGUAAAGGGCGCGUAGGCGGUUAGAUGUGUCAAAGGUGAAAUCCCUCGGCUCAACUGAGGAACUGCCUUUGAAACUGUCUGGCUUGAGGCCGGGAGAGGGUAGCGGAAUUCCCAGUGUAGCGGUGAAAUGCGUAGAUAUUGGGAGGAACACCAGUGGCGAAGGCGGCUACCUGGACCGGUUCUGACGCUGAGGCGCGAAAGCGUGGGUAGCAAACAGG